CCGAGCUUGGUUUUCCGCUACGCAGCGUGGCCGAGCGUGGAUUCGCUUCCUUUGGUUUCCGGUUUCAGCCGAGCAGUGGUACAAUCGCACGGCUCGGACAUUGGGAUGGGAUGGAAAAUUAAGAACGAUCGAAGAGAGAUCGUGUCAAAAUGUAGAUUCGGAUGUAAGAUUUAAGAAGAGCGAAACGAGGAAAGAAAAGAAUUAUUGAUGAAAAUGAUACGUAAUAGAUUCGAGCUUGAGGUGACUGGAAAGAAGAAUAGAAUGAAAAAAAAGAA
Apis cerana (Asiatic honeybee) is the source of this 275-nucleotide long non-coding RNA. RefSeq lists it as uncharacterized. NCBI's taxonomy places the organism in Eukaryota, Metazoa, Arthropoda, Insecta, Hymenoptera, Apidae. The record is from RefSeq and is a predicted model, not a curated record.